CCUCCUCGAUCUGCUGCGGGCAGAUGAAGUGGAUAUGGGAGUCGAAGCCGCCCGCCGUGACGAUCUUGCCCUCGCCGGCGAUGAUCUCCGUGCCUGGGCCGAUGAUGAUGUCGACAUUGGGCUGCACGUCCGGAUUGCCGGCCUUGCCGAUCCCGGUGAUCCGUCCGCCCUUGAUGCCGAUGUCACCUUUGACGAUGCCCCAAUGAUCGAGGAUGACCGCGUUGGUGAUGACGGUGUCGACCGCGCCCUCGGCACGGGUCGCCUGCCCCUGCCCCAUUCCGUCGCGGAUA
Molecule: small RNA, 290 nt
Filed under: Microvirga sp. BSC39
Lineage: Bacteria; Pseudomonadati; Pseudomonadota; Alphaproteobacteria; Hyphomicrobiales; Methylobacteriaceae
Description: 5' ureB small RNA
Rfam family: 5' ureB small RNA
Source: Rfam by way of RNAcentral